Molecule: ribosomal RNA, 254 nt
Filed under: uncultured bacterium
Lineage: Bacteria
Description: partial 16S ribosomal RNA
Rfam family: Bacterial small subunit ribosomal RNA
Source: RNAcentral
UACGUAGGGUGCGAGCGUUGUCCGGAAUUAUUGGGCGUAAAGAGCUCGUAGGCGGUGUGUCACGUCGUUCGUGAAAACCUGCAGCUUAACUGUGGGCGUGCGGUCGAUACGGGCAUCACUGGAGUUCGGCAGGGGAGACUGGAAUUCCUGGUGUAGCGGUGGAAUGCGCAGAUAUCAGGAAGAACACCUAUGGCGAAGGCAGCUCUCUGGGACGGUACUGACGCUGAGACGCGAAAGCGUGGGGAGCGAACAGG